RNAcentral lists this ribosomal RNA (543 nucleotides) under Triticum aestivum (bread wheat). RNAcentral describes it as "partial small subunit ribosomal RNA". The record is from RNAcentral. Lineage: Eukaryota; Viridiplantae; Streptophyta; Magnoliopsida; Poales; Poaceae.
AUGGGCCUCGGCGAGGGCGAGUACGAGCCGCGCGUCGUGCACCAGUUCCUGGACCUGGCCUACCGCUACGUCGGGGACGUGCUCGGCGACGCCCAGGUCUACGCCGACCACGCGGCCAAGCCGCAGCUCGACGCCGACGACGUCCGCCUCGCCAUCCAGGCCAAGGUCAACUUCUCCUUCUCCCAGCCGCCGCCGCGCGAGGUUCUACUCGAGUUGGCACGCAGCCGGAACAAGAUCCCGCUGCCCAAGUCUAUAGCUCCACCUGGCUCAAUCCCCUUGCCACCCGAACAGGACACAUUGUUGAGUGAAAACUACCAACUCCUACCUGCAUUGAAGCCGCCAACUCAGACCGAGGAAGCAGAAGAUGACAAUGAGGGAGCUGGUGCAAGCCCUACCAAUCCUAAUCCAAACUAUCCGCAGGAUCAGAGGGGCAGUGAGCAACAUCAGCCUCAGAGCCAGAGGGUUUCUUUCCAACUGAACGCGGUGGCCGCCGCAGCUGCAAAACGUUCUCUAGUGACAAUUGAUCAGUUGAACAUGGGCUAA